GAUGAACGCUGGCGGCGUGCUUAACACAUGCAAGUCGAGCGCGUCUGAUUUGAUGCUUGCAUUGAUGAAAGAUGAGCGGCGGACGGGUGAGUAACGCGUGGGUAACCUGCCCUAUACACAUGGAUAACAUACUGAAAAGUUUACUAAUACAUGAUAAUAUAUAUUUACGGCAUCGUAGAUAUAUCAAAGUGUUAGCGGUAUAGGAUGGACCCGCGUCUGAUUAGCUAGUUGGUGAGAUAACUGCCCACCAAGGCGACGAUCAGUAGCCGACCUGAGAGGGUGAUCGGCCACAUUGGAACUGAGACACGGUCCAAACUCCUACGGGAGGCAGCAGUGGGGAAUAUUGCACAAUGGGCGCAAGCCUGAUGCAGCAACGCCGCGUGAACGAUGAAGGUCUUCGGAUCGUAAAGUUCUGUUGCAGGGGAAGAUAAUGACGGUACCCUGUGAGGAAGCCCCGGCUAACUACGUGCCAGCAGCCGCGGUAAUACGUAGGGGGCUAGCGUUAUCCGGAUUUACUGGGCGUAAAGGGUGCGUAGGUGGUCUUUCAAGUCGGUGGUUAAAGGCUACGGCUCAACCGUAGUUAGCCUCCGAAACUGGAAGACUUGAGUGCAGGAGAGGAAAGUGGAAUUCCCAGUGUAGCGGUGAAAUGCGUAGAUAUUGGGAGGAACACCAGUAGCGAAGGCGGCUUUCUGGACUGCAACUGACACUGAGGCACGAAAGCGUGGGUAGCAAACAGGAUUAGAUACCCUGGUAGUCCACGCUGUAAACGAUGAGUACUAGGUGUCGGGGGUUACCCCCCUCGGUGCCGCAGCUAACGCAUUAAGUACUCCGCCUGGGGAGUACGCACGCAAGUGUG
Molecule: ribosomal RNA, 856 nt
Filed under: uncultured Clostridia bacterium
Lineage: Bacteria; Bacillati; Bacillota; Clostridia
Description: bacterial SSU rRNA
Rfam family: Bacterial small subunit ribosomal RNA
Source: RNAcentral